Molecule: ribosomal RNA, 850 nt
Filed under: uncultured deep-sea bacterium
Lineage: Bacteria
Description: bacterial SSU rRNA
Rfam family: Bacterial small subunit ribosomal RNA
Source: RNAcentral
AGAGUUUGAUCCUGGCUCAGAACGAACGCUGGCGGCGUGGCUAAAGCAUGCAAGUCGAACGAGGUGUGUGGAAGGUAACGGAAGCACACUUAGUGGCGAACGGGUGAGGAAUAGAUAGGUAACGUACCCUGGACACAGGAAUAGCGGCGUCCCGACUUGUCGGGACUUUGCGAAAGUGCCGGUAAUACCUGAUGACACCCCCGAUACUCAUGUAUUGGGGGUCAAAGGUCCGCCGGUCCGGGAGCGGCCUAUCUCCUAUCAGCUUGUUGGUGGGGUAAUGGCCUACCAAGGCAUCGACAGGUACCAGGCGUGAGAGCGUGACCUGGCACAUCGGGACUGAGACACUGCCCGGACAUCUACGGAUGGCUGCAGCAACGAAUAUUCCGCAAUGGGCGCAAGCCUGACGGAGCGACGCCGCGUGUAGGAUGAAGCACCUCGGUGUGUAAACUACUGUCAGGGGUUAGGAAGAAAGUGACCAACCCCACAGGAAGCCUCGGCUAACUCCGUGCCAGCAGCCGCGGUAAUACGGAGGAGGCAAGCGUUGUUCGGAAUCACUGGGCUUAAAGAGUGCGUAGGCGGGAAAGCAGGUGUCGGGUGAAAGCCCUCGGCUCAACCGAGGAACUGCUCGGCAAACCGCUUUUCUUGAGGCUAGCAGAGGAACCCGGAACCUUGGGUGGAGCGGUGAAAUGCGUAGAUAUCCAAGGGAACGCCAGUGGCGAAAGCGGGGUUCUGGGCUGGUUCUGACGCUGAGGCACGAAAGCGUGGGUAGCAAACAGGAUUAGAUACCCUGGUAGUCCACGCCGUAAACGAUGCGCACUAGGUAUCAGCGCCUCUGACGGGGUUGGUGCCG